UGGGUUAUCUUCACCGACCAAAAAGAGAGAGACCUAGAUGGCUGAAACACCUACGCAUUAUAAUAGAAAUGGGCUCAGUGCAAUUUUAGGGAACCAGUAUAAUUAGGGCAAACCAAAAAAUUUGGGGAAAUCUGAUAUUCAGCCAGAUCUAUAGCCAAAUCAACACAAAUGUAAGGAAAUAUGAGCAUGUGAGCAUUGUCGUGUACAACCUAACUUCCAAAACAAAACACAGAGGAACAUAUGGAGUUUUACCAGCCACACACCUGACUUGAAGAGGACGAUGAGGCAGAAAUGUCGUCGAAUCACCCGGAGUUAGUACGACACAAAUCGGCGACCUACUCUUUCGUCUCUCUUUUCUCUCUUCUCGGUAAAGUGGGGAAGAAAUGGACG
Molecule: long non-coding RNA, 390 nt
Filed under: Actinidia chinensis (golden kiwifruit)
Lineage: Eukaryota; Viridiplantae; Streptophyta; Magnoliopsida; Ericales; Actinidiaceae
Description: long non-coding RNA (ACHI_LNC005240)
Source: RNAcentral